This 460-nucleotide ribosomal RNA is filed under the name uncultured bacterium. RNAcentral's name for it is "partial 16S ribosomal RNA". It matches the Rfam family "Bacterial small subunit ribosomal RNA", at positions 338 to 795 of the family's 1533-position model. The record is from RNAcentral.
CCUACGGGAGGCAGCAGUGAGGAAUAUUGGUCAAUGGGCGCGAGCCUGAACCAGCCAAGUAGCGUGAAGGGUGACUGCCCUACGGGUUGUAAACUUCUUUUAUAAAGGAAUAAAGUGAGGCACGUGUGCCUUUUUGUAUGUAUUUUAUGAAUAAGGAUCGGCUAACUCCGUGCCAGCAGCCGCGGUAAUACGGAGGAUCCGAGCGUUAUCCGGAUUUAUUGGGUUUAAAGGGAGCGUAGAUGGGUUGUUAAGUCAGUUGUGAAAGUUUGCGGCUAAACCGUAAAAUUGAAAUUGAUACUGGCAGCCUGGAGUACAGUUGAGGUAGGCGGAAUGCGUGGUGUAGCGGUGAAAUGCUUAGAUACCACGAAGAACUCCGAGUGAGAAGGCAGCCUACUAAACUGCCACUGACAUUGAUGCUCGAAAGUGUGGGUAUCAAACAGGAUUAGAUACCCCGGUAGUC